AUUGAACGCUGGCGGAAUGCUUUACACAUGCAAGUCGAACGGCAGCACGGGGGCAGCCCUGGCGGCGAGUGGCGAACGGGUGAGUAAUACAUCGGAACGUGCCCGGUCGUGGGGGAUAACGUAGCGAAAGUUACGCUAAUACCGCAUACGAUCUGAGGAUGAAAGCGGGGGACCUUCGGGCCUCGCGCGAUCGGAGCGGCCGAUGUCAGAUUAGGUAGUUGGUGGGGUAAAGGCCUACCAAGCCGUCGAUCUGUAGCUGGUCUGAGAGGACGACCAGCCACACUGGGACUGAGACACGGCCCAGACUCCUACGGGAGGCAGCAGUGGGGAAUUUUGGACAAUGGGCGCAAGCCUGAUCCAGCCAUUCCGCGUGCAGGACGAAGGCCUUCGGGUUGUAAACUGCUUUUGUACGGAACGAAAAGGCUCUGGCUAAUACCUGGGGCUCAUGACGGUACCGUAAGAAUAAGCACCGGCUAACUACGUG
RNAcentral lists this ribosomal RNA (484 nucleotides) under uncultured bacterium. RNAcentral's name for it is "partial 16S ribosomal RNA". It matches the Rfam family "Bacterial small subunit ribosomal RNA", at positions 30 to 507 of the family's 1533-position model. The record is from RNAcentral.